CAUUAAAGAGUUCUAUAACUCCCAAACCCAUGUGAACAUACCUAACGUUGCCUCGGCAGGUCGCACCUACCUUGUAGCACCCUACCCUGUAGGGCCUACCCGGGAGGUGCGGGUAAGCCUGCCGGCGGCCCACCAAACUCUGUUUGAUAUUGAAUUCUGAACCUAUAACUAAAUAAGUUAAAACUUUCAACAACGGAUCUCUUGGUUCUGGCAUCGAUGAAGAACGCAGCGAAAUGCGAUAAGUAAUGUGAAUUGCAGAAUUCAGUGAAUCAUCGAAUCUUUGAACGCAUAUUGCGCCCAUUAGUAUUCUAGUGGGCAGGACCGUUCGAGCGUCAUUUCAACCCUUAAGCCUUCGUUGCUUAGUGUUGGGAGCCUACGGCAACGUAGCUCCUCAAAGUUAGUGGCGGAGUUGGUUCACACUCUAGACGUAGUAAUUUUUUAUCUCGCCUAUUAGUUGGACUAAUCCCCUGCCGUAAAACCCCCAAUUUAUAUCAAGGUUGACCUCGAAUCGGUUCAGACAAACUCGCUAAAUUGAAGCAUCUUAGUCAGCGAAGGAAAAGAAACCAACAGGGAUUGCCCUAGUAACGGCGAGUGAAGCGGCAACAGCUCAAAUUUGAAAUCUGGCCCUCGGGUCCGAGUUGUAAUUUGUAGAGGAUGCUUUUGGCGCGGUGCCUUCCGAGUUCCCUGGAACGGGACGCCUUAGAGGGUGAGAGCCCCGUACGGUUGGACACCAAGCCUCUGUAAAGCUCCUUCGACGAGUCGAGUAGCUUGGGAAUGCUGCUCUAAAUGGGAGGUAAAUUUCUUCUAAAGCUAAAUAUUGGCCAGAGACCGAUAGCGCACAAGUA
This 845-nucleotide ribosomal RNA is filed under the name fungal endophyte. Its description in RNAcentral is "eukaryotic LSU rRNA". The stretch from base 499 to 845 matches the Rfam family "Eukaryotic large subunit ribosomal RNA", at positions 1 to 350 of the family's 3401-position model. Lineage: Eukaryota; Fungi. The record is from RNAcentral.